RNAcentral lists this ribosomal RNA (2799 nucleotides) under Erythrobacter sp. HI0028. Its description in RNAcentral is "bacterial LSU rRNA". It matches the Rfam family "Bacterial large subunit ribosomal RNA". Lineage: Bacteria; Pseudomonadati; Pseudomonadota; Alphaproteobacteria; Sphingomonadales; Erythrobacteraceae. The record is from RNAcentral.
GUGGAUUCUCAAGCGUGAGGUAAGAGCAUUUGGUGGAUGCCUUGGCAUGUGCAGGCGAUGAAGGACGUGGCACGCUGCGAUAAGCGUCGGGGAGAUGUGAGCAAUCUUUGAUCCGGCGAUUUCCGAAUGGGGAAACCCACCCUCACCAUUUCCUUUCGAUUGUCUUCGGACAGUCGGAAAGAGGUGGAUAGGGUAUCACCAGACUGAAUACAUAGGUUUGGUGAAGCGAACCCGGGGAACUGAAACAUCUCAGUACCCGGAGGAAAAGACAUCAACAGAGAUUCCCGUAGUAGUGGCGAGCGAACCGGGACCAGGCCAGUGCCUUCAUUUCAACUAGCAAAACACUUUGGAAAGAGUGGCCAUAGCGGGUGACAGCCCCGUAUGCGAAAGUGAUGAUGAAGGACUCGAGUAGGGCGGGACACGUGAAAUCCUGUCUGAACAUGGGGGGACCACCCUCCAAGCCUAAAUACUCGCACAUGACCGAUAGCGAACACAGUACCGUGAGGGAAAGGUGAAAAGCACCCCGAUUAGGGGAGUGAAACAGUACCUGAAACCGGAUGCUUACAAGCAGUUGGAGCCCCAUAGGGGGUGACAGCGUACCUCUUGCAUAAUGGGUCAGUGACUUAAUCUACCAUGCAAGCUUAAGCCGUUAGGUGUAGGCGCAGCGAAAGCGAGUCUGAAUAGGGCGACUGAGUAUGAUGGAUUAGACCCGAACCCCGGCGAUCUAGGCAUGGCCAGGUUGAAGGUGCAGUAACAUGCACUGGAGGACCGAACCGGUGAAUGUUGAAAAAUUCUCGGAUGAGCUGUGUUUAGGGGUGAAAGGCCAAUCAAGCCGGGAAAUAGCUGGUUCUCCGCGAAAUCUAUUGAGGUAGAGCGUCGGAUGUAUGCCGAUGGGGGUAGAGCACUGGAUGGGCUAGGGCUGCGCGAGCGGUACCAAACCUAACCAAACUCCGAAUACCAUCGAGUCUUAUCCGGCAGACAGACGGCGGGUGCUAAGGUCCGUCGUCAAAAGGGAAACAGCCCUAACCUACAGCUAAGGUCCCCAAGUCAUAUCUAAGUGGGAAAGCAUGUGGGAAUCCCAAAACAACCAGGAGGUUGGCUUAGAAGCAGCCAUCCUUUAAAGAAAGCGUAACAGCUCACUGGUCUAAACAAGGGUUCCUGCGGCGAAGAUGUAACGGGGCUAAAGAUAUGCACCGAAGCUUAGGGUUCAGAAUUUAUUCUGAGCGGUAGCGGAGCGUUCCGUAAGCGAGUGAAGGCGAAGGGUAACCGACGCUGGACGUAUCGGAAGUGCGAAUGCUGACAUGAGUAGCGACAAACAGGGUGAGAUGCCCUGUCGCCGAAAGACCAAGGGUUCCUGCGCAACGCUAAUCGGCGCAGGGUUAGCCGGCCCCUAAGACGAGCCCGAAGGGGGUAGUCGAUGGGAACCACGUAAAUAUUCGUGGGCCUGAAGAUGUGUGACGGAUCGUGGAAGUUGUUUUCUCUUAUUGGAUUGAGAGGGCAGCCAAGCGGUUCCAGGAAAUAGCCUCUUCACUAUAGACCGUACCCGAAACCGACACAGGUGGUCAGGUAGAGUAUACCAAGGCGCUUGAGAGAAGUAUCCUGAAGGAACUCGGCAAAUUGCCUCCGUACCUUCGGAAGAAGGAGGCCCCAUAUCGACGCAAGUCUUUGUGGGGGGCACAGGCCAGGGGGUAGCGACUGUUUAGCAAAAACACAGCACUCUGCUAAGUCGGCUUCAAGACGACGUAUAGGGUGUGACGCCUGCCCGGUGCUCGAAGGUUAAGAGGAGGAGUGCAAGCUCCGAAUUGAAGCCCGAGUAAACGGCGGCCGUAACUAUAACGGUCCUAAGGUAGCGAAAUUCCUUGUCGGGUAAGUUCCGACCUGCACGAAUGGCGUAACGACUUCCCCACUGUCUCCAGGAUAUGCUCAGCGAAAUUGAAUUCUCCGUGAAGAUGCGGAGUACCCGCGGUUAGACGGAAAGACCCCGUGCACCUUUACUGCAGCUUCAGAGUGGCAUUAGGAAAUUACUGUGUAGAAUAGGUGGGAGGCUUUGAAACAUCGGCGCCAGCUGGUGUGGAGCCAACCUGUGAAAUACCACCCUGUGAUUUUCUGAUGUCUAACCACGCACCGUUAUCCGGUGUUGGGACCCUCUGUGGCGGGUAGUUUGACUGGGGCGGUCGCCUCCUAAAGAGUAACGGAGGCGCGCGAUGGUAUGCUCAGGACGGUUGGAAACCGUCUGCAAGAGUGCAAUGGCAUAAGCAUGCCUGACUGCGAGACCGACAGGUCGAGCAGAGACGAAAGUCGGUCAUAGUGAUCCGGUGGUCCCUCGUGGAAGGGCCAUCGCUCAACGGAUAAAAGGUACGCCGGGGAUAACAGGCUGAUGAUUCCCAAGAGCUCAUAUCGACGGAAUCGUUUGGCACCUCGAUGUCGGCUCAUCACAUCCUGGGGCUGGAGCAGGUCCCAAGGGUUUGGCUGUUCGCCAAUUAAAGUGGUACGUGAGCUGGGUUCAGAACGUCGCGAGACAGUUUGGUCCCUAUCUGCCGUGGGCGUCGAUUGUUGAAAGGAGUUGCCCCUAGUACGAGAGGACCGGGGUGAACAUACCUCUGGUGUACCUGUCAUCCUGCCAAGGGUGCCGCAGGGUAGCUAUGUAUGGACGGGAUAACCGCUGAAAGCAUCUAAGCGGGAAGCCUCCCUUGAGAUAAGCAAUCUUCGAACCGUCAUAGACCAUGACGUUGAUAGGCCGGGUGUGGAAGCGCAGUAAUGCGUGUAGCUAACCGGUCCUAAUAGUUCUUUUCGCGCUUG